RNAcentral lists this ribosomal RNA (1005 nucleotides) under Bacteroides caccae. RNAcentral describes it as "bacterial LSU rRNA". It matches the Rfam family "Bacterial large subunit ribosomal RNA", at positions 1 to 1012 of the family's 2925-position model. The record is from RNAcentral. Lineage: Bacteria; Pseudomonadati; Bacteroidota; Bacteroidia; Bacteroidales; Bacteroidaceae.
AAAGAAAGUAAGCAAGGGCGCAUGGCGGAUGCCUUGGCUCUCGGAGGCGAUGAAGGACGUGAUAAGCUGCGAUAAGCUUCGGGUAGGUGCAAAUAACCUUUGAUCCGAAGAUUUCCGAAUGGGACAACCCGACAUUCUGAAGGAAUGUCAUCCUGCUUGGCAGGAGGCUAACGCAGGGAACUGAAACAUCUUAGUACCUGCAGGAAAAGAAAAUAAUAAUGAUUCCCCAAGUAGUGGCGAGCGAACGGGGAUUAGCCCAAACCAAUGUUGUUACGGCAAUAUUGGGGUUGUAGGACCACGUUGUCGCAAGACAUUCAGUGAGAAGAAUUCUUUGGAAAAUGAAACCAUAGACGGUGAUAGUCCGGUAUUCGAAGCUGAACGAAGCGUAGUGGUAUCCUGAGUAGCGCGGGACACGAGGAAUCUUGGCGUGAACCAGCCGGGACCAUCCGGUAAGGCUAAAUACUCCCGAGAGACCGAUAGCGAACCAGUACUGUGAAGGAAAGGUGAAAAGCACUUCGAAUAGAAGAGUGAAAUAGUCCCUGAAACCAUGCGCCUACAAGCGGUCGGAGCAGCUUAUGCUGUGACGGCGUGCCUUUUGCAUAAUGAACCUACGAGUUACUUUUUCCGGCAAGGUUAAGGAUCUAGAGAUCCGUAGCCGAAGCGAAAGCGAGUCUGAACAGGGCGAUAAGUCGGAAGGAGUAGACGCGAAACCAAGUGAUCUACCCUUGGCCAGGUUGAAGGUUAGGUAACACUAACUGGAGGACCGAACCGAUAAGCGUUGAAAAGCUUCCGGAUGAGCUGAGGGUGGGGGUGAAAGGCUAAUCAAACUUGGAGAUAGCUCGUACUCCCCGAAAUGCAUUUAGGUGCAGCCUUGUGAGUUACUAAUGUUGAGGUAGAGCGACUGAUAAGAUGCGAGGGCUUCACCGCCUAUCAAGUCUUGAUAAACUCCGAAUGCGCAUUAGUUCUAUCACAGGAGUGAGGGCAUGGGUGCUAAGGUCCAUGUCC